Non-coding RNA from Pelobates cultripes (western spadefoot toad), 209 nucleotides. The record is from the annotation of a GenBank genome assembly. Lineage: Eukaryota; Metazoa; Chordata; Amphibia; Anura; Pelobatidae.
GUGUCCCACAAGGAGGGAGCCGUGUGACAGAACCAUCUGUCUGCUGGAUUUUUGCCCAUUCGUCUGUUUGUCCCCGUUCGUAUGAAUGGCUGGUUUCUAUAGCCCAGCCAUUCGAAUGACUCUUUUUCCCGAACAAAUCUGCCGAACGAACGGCCACCCAAGUGAGGAGUGUGCUGCAGGUUAACGAAGUGAUCACCAUUAUAACGUUG